AUAUGGCAUAAUAUAGUUUGUUACGCAGAGGAACGGAGUUUAAAUCUCCGGCUGCCCCGCAACGGUGAUGCCGUAAGGCUAAGCCCGGUCUACUGCAAACCCGGUCAUAAGACU
RNAcentral lists this non-coding RNA (114 nucleotides) under Elusimicrobiota bacterium. The record is from RNAcentral. Lineage: Bacteria; Pseudomonadati; Elusimicrobiota.